GCAGGAAUUAACAAGGGCUCGCUCAGCCUCAGAGAGCUCCACAGCAUCCCUGGAGGAAGGCAGCCAGACAUCCUCAGACAGCACUGCUGAGGAGCCGGAGGGGACGUCGGAGGACAAGAGCUCUGGAUUCCGAUGGUUCGGCUGGUUUCGGUCCAAGCCCCAGAAGGAAACCUCUCCCAAAGUCACGACCUCAGGCUCCCCCACGCCAGGACUGCAGAAGGGAAGAUCCUAGACUGGCUCUUCAGGAUCUGGAUCCUGGGCUGUCCCUUCAUCUUCUGUCCUUCUGAGGAGCAAGUAAUGCUGGGAUGGAUGGUUACAAGUUUUGGCACAUGCUGCCCAGGAAGGUGGAGGAGUCACCAUCCCUGGAGGUGUAGAAGAACCAUGGAGAUGUGGC
Molecule: long non-coding RNA, 394 nt
Filed under: Chrysolophus pictus (golden pheasant)
Lineage: Eukaryota; Metazoa; Chordata; Aves; Galliformes; Phasianidae
Description: lncRNA (ENSCPIG00010001479.1)
Source: RNAcentral